This is a long non-coding RNA of Macrobrachium nipponense, 498 nucleotides long. RefSeq lists it as uncharacterized. The record is from RefSeq and is a predicted model, not a curated record. Lineage: Eukaryota; Metazoa; Arthropoda; Malacostraca; Decapoda; Palaemonidae. The transcript is spliced from 2 exons.
UGCUUUUUAUAAUUGAAGAAGCAUCUACAUUAACUAUGUAACGUUUCUUGCCGACCCACCUGUCUCUGCCUCUUCCGUCGUCGUCUUUGAAGCCAACGUCAACACUUCUAUGGAGUCAAUGGUUGAACCUUUCCUGCCCAGCAGUUGCUAAUUGUUAAGGAGGACAGUGGUUUAGUGGAAGACACUGAUUCAAUUUCUUGUUCUUUCACGCAACUGAUUUAGGUAAUUUCAGUGUUAAGUGUCAAUGAUAUACACAAUUUUUUUUCAUGAGGAUAGUCUUUAAUUUAUUAAAUAUUGUUGGACUCGAUAAUGAUAGUCUGUUGUUGUUGUUUUCAGAAUCCAUAGGUUUUCAAAAAUUUCCAUGAGUGAAGGUCUUUCCACCACAAGCAAUAGUUGUCUAUUUAUGAUUAGCGAUUGGGAACAGGACUUCAGCCAUCGGAGUUGUAUCUAUGCCAUUUCGUAAUCUUAACUUUCAUACGAAUAAAUAAUUUUAAAGAA